This 500-nucleotide ribosomal RNA is filed under the name uncultured bacterium. RNAcentral's name for it is "partial 16S ribosomal RNA". It matches the Rfam family "Bacterial small subunit ribosomal RNA", at positions 30 to 523 of the family's 1533-position model. The record is from RNAcentral.
AUUGAACGCUGGCGGCAGGCCUAACACAUGCAAGUCGAGCGGCAGCGGGACCUUCGGGUUGCCGGCGAGCGGCGGACGGGUGAGUAAUGCCUAGGAAUCUGCCUGUUAGUGGGGGAUAACGCGGGGAAACUCGCGCUAAUACCGCAUACGUCCUACGGGAGAAAGCGGGAGCUCUUCGGACCUCGCGCUAACAGAUGAGCCUAGGUCGGAUUAGCUAGUUGGUGGGGUAAUGGCUCACCAAGGCGACGAUCCGUAACUGGUCUGAGAGGAUGAUCAGUCACACUGGAACUGAGACACGGUCCAGACUCCUACGGGAGGCAGCAGUGGGGAAUAUUGGACAAUGGGCGAAAGCCUGAUCCAGCCAUGCCGCGUGUGUGAAGAAGGUCUUCGGAUUGUAAAGCACUUUAGGUCGGGAGGAAGGGCUGUAGGUUAAUACCCUGCGGUUUUGACGUUACCGACAGAAUAAGCACCGGCUAACUUCGUGCCAGCCGCCGCCGUAA